GGGGCGUAGUUCAAUUUGGUAGAGCACCGGUCUCCAAAACCGGGAGUUGGGAGUUCAAACCUCUCCGCCCCUG
This 73-nucleotide transfer RNA is filed under the name Sodalis sp. CWE. RNAcentral describes it as "tRNA-Trp". It matches the Rfam family "tRNA". Rfam says of the family: Transfer RNA (tRNA) molecules are approximately 80 nucleotides in length. Their secondary structure includes four short double-helical elements and three loops (D, anti-codon, and T loops). Lineage: Bacteria; Pseudomonadati; Pseudomonadota; Gammaproteobacteria; Enterobacterales; Bruguierivoracaceae. The record is from RNAcentral.